AACUCUCUUGCAGGAUUAUCUUCUUAAAAAUCAAAAUGCUCCAUGACAGAAGUAGAGAAUUUUCAGCAUCAAUCUCUAUAAAAGCCAAUUUGACAAACUGUACAACAAUGAAAUCCUUUUGAAAUCUUACAGCCUUUGUUGAAUUCAUUUCUCAAAUCUGAAAUAAUUUUCAACAUAUUAUUUGCUAUUUUGUGGAAUUGGGUUUCCAAGCAUGCACCACAAAUGACUUUUCCAAAAUUGUGAACUUUUUAAAAACUAAAAUAUUGCAAAAGCGUAAGCACUUAAAUCCAGAGCAGGUGCAAAAGCAAGCAACUAACUUCGCUCGAAAAUUCAUUCGAGACAGUCUUGUGCAAACUAAAUUUGAUAAAACUACUAUGAAACUUCUGAGUGACUUUGCAAAUCAACAUAUUUGAGAAAUUUUGUACAUACUCUGUGCCUGUAUUCUCAGCAUAAAAUAUAUAUAUGUAAAGUUACCUUGUACAGUAAAAGCCAUGUAAUAAAAGAAAAUUUGUAUACAGAAUAA
Molecule: long non-coding RNA, 523 nt
Organism: Stegodyphus dumicola
Lineage: Eukaryota; Metazoa; Arthropoda; Arachnida; Araneae; Eresidae
Source: RefSeq, a predicted model, not a curated record